UGGGACUGAGAUACGGCCCAGACUCCUACGGGAGGCAGCAGUAGGGAAUUUUGCGCAAUGGACGAAAGUCUGACGCAGCAACGCCGCGUGAGGGAUGACGGCCUUCGGGUUGUAAACCUCUGUUGAGUGGGAAGAAAAGCUUUGUGGUUAAUAUCCACAGAGUCUGACGGUACCACUCGAGGAAGCUCCGGCUAACUACGUGCCAGCAGCCGCGGUAAUACGUAGGGGGCUAGCGUUGUUCGGAAUCACUGGGCGUAAAGGGAGUGUAGGCGGACCGGUAAGUUAGGAGUUAAAUGUACGGGCUCAACCCGUGAUCUGCUUUUAAUACUGUCGGUCUUGAGUAUGGGAGAGGGAGAUGGAAUUCCAGGUGUAGCGGUGGAAUGCGUAGAUAUCUGGAAGAACACCAGUUGCGAAGGCGGUCUCCUGGACCAAUACUGACGCUGAUGCUCGAAAGCUGGGGGAGCGAACAGGAUUAGAUACCCUGGUAGUCCCAGCCGUAAACGAUGGACACUAGUUGCCGGAGGAGUCAAUCCCUUCGGUGACGAAGCUAACGCAUUAAGUGUCCCGCCUGGGGAGUACGCUCGCAAGGGUGAAACUCAAAGGAAUUGACGGGGGCCCGCACAAGCGGUGGAGCAUGUGCUUUAAUUCGAUGCAACGCGAAGAACCUUACCUGGGUUUGACAUGGGGGUGAAAGUUUCCAGAGAUGGAAGCCUUUCCUUCGGGAACACCCCACACAGGUGCUGCAUGGUUGUCGUCAGCUCGUGUCGUGAGAUGUUGGGUUAAGUCCCGCAACGAGCGCAACCCCUGCCCUUAGUUGCCAUCAGGUAAAGUUGGGAACUCUAAGGGGACAGCUUGGUAUAACCAGGAGGAAGGUGGGGAUGACGUCAAAUCAUCGUGGCUCUUACGCCCAGGGCUAGACACGUGCUACAAUGGCAGGUACAGUGGGAUGCCAGCCUGCGAAGGUGAGCUAAUCCCUUAAAACCUGUCUCAGUCCGGAUUGGAGUCUGCAACUCGACUCCAUGAAGUUGGAAUCGCUAGUAAUCGCGGAUCAGCAUGCCGCGGUGAAUACGUUCCCGGGCCUUGUACACACCGCCCGUCAAGCCAUGAAAGGCGGUAGUACCCGAAGUCGCGUACCCAACCGUAAGGAGGGAAGCGCCGAAGGUAAGA
RNAcentral lists this ribosomal RNA (1167 nucleotides) under uncultured organism. RNAcentral's name for it is "bacterial SSU rRNA". It matches the Rfam family "Bacterial small subunit ribosomal RNA", at positions 314 to 1467 of the family's 1533-position model. The record is from RNAcentral.